Molecule: ribosomal RNA, 394 nt
Filed under: Xalocoa ocellata
Lineage: Eukaryota; Fungi; Ascomycota; Lecanoromycetes; Ostropales; Graphidaceae
Description: mitochondrial SSU rRNA
Rfam family: Bacterial small subunit ribosomal RNA
Source: RNAcentral
AAUAGCCUAACGGCUGAACCAGCAACUUGGAGGAAUGUAUAGGGAAAACUGGUAAAAUGUGAUGUACCUAGUAAUAUUAGUGAUUAAUACGAGAUUAACUAAGUUAAUUAAAAUUCUAAGUAGAUAUGUGAUUAUGACAAUAUGUGCUUAUGUCUUGACCAAGUCACGUGCCAGCGGUCGCGGUAAUACGUGGAAGAUUAGUGUUAUUCAUCUUUAACAGGUUUAAAGGGUACCUAGACGGUUAAUUAAGCUGUAGAAGGUACUAAUUAACUAGAGUUUAAUGUAAGAAAGAUUGAGUACGGUGAGUGUAGAGAUAAAAUUCGGUCAUACCACUUAGGAACUGGUAAAGGCGAAGGCAACUUUCUAUGUAAAAACUGACGUUGAANGACGAAGG